RNAcentral lists this ribosomal RNA (229 nucleotides) under uncultured bacterium. RNAcentral's name for it is "partial 16S ribosomal RNA". It matches the Rfam family "Bacterial small subunit ribosomal RNA", at positions 568 to 796 of the family's 1533-position model. The record is from RNAcentral.
CGCGUAGGCGGGAAGGUAAGUCGGAUGUGAAAUCCCGGAGCUCAACUCCGGAACUGCAUUCGAAACUGCUUUUCUUGAGGAUAGGCGGAGAAGACGGAAUUCCACGUGUAGCGGUGAAAUGCUUAGAUAUGUGGAAGAACACCGGUGGCGAAGGCGGUCUUCUAGCUUAUUCCUGACGCUAAGGCGCGAAAGCAAGGGGAGCGAACAGGAUUAGAUACCCUGGUAGUCC